CCUACGGGUGACAGCAGUGGGGAAUAUUGCACAAUGGUCGAAACCCUGAUGCAGCAACGCCGCGUGAGUGAUGACGGCCUUCGGGUUGUAAAGCUCUGUCUUCAGGGACGAAAUUGACGGUACCUGCCAAGGAAUCACUGGCUAACUCCGUGCCAGCAGCCGCGGUAAUACGGAGGGUGCGAGCGUUAAUCGGAAUUACUGGGCGUAAAGCGCUCGUAGGCGGUGUGUCAAGUCAAGGGUGAAAUCCCCGGGCUCAACGUGGGUACUGCCUGUGAAACUGGCAAACGAGAGUGUGAGAGAGGAUAGUGGAAUUCCAGGUGUAGGAGUGAAAUGCGUAGAUAUCUGGAGGAACAUCAGUAGCGAAGGCGACAAUCUGGCUCAUAACUGACGCUGAGGUGCGAAAGCGUGGGUAGCAAACAGGAUUAGAUACCCCAGUAGUC
RNAcentral lists this ribosomal RNA (440 nucleotides) under uncultured bacterium. RNAcentral describes it as "partial 16S ribosomal RNA". It matches the Rfam family "Bacterial small subunit ribosomal RNA", at positions 338 to 795 of the family's 1533-position model. The record is from RNAcentral.